CCUACGGGUGGCAGCAGUGAGGAAUAGUGGUCAAUGGACGAGAGUCUGAACCAGCCAAGUAGCGUGAAGGAUGACGGCCCGAUGGGUUGUAAACUUCUUUUAUAAAGGAAUAAAACGAGGCACGUGGGCCUUUUUGCAUGUACGUUAUGAAUAAGGAUCGGCUAACUCCGUGCCAGCAGCCGCGGUAAUACGGAGGAUCCGAGCGUUAUCCGGAUUUCUGGGGGUUAAAGGGAGCGUAGAUGGGUUGUUAAGUCAGUUGUGAAAGUUUGCGGCUCAACCGUAAAAUUGCAAUUUAUACUGGCAGUCUUGCGUCCAGUUGAGGUCGGCGGACUUCGUGUUGUAGCGG
This 346-nucleotide ribosomal RNA is filed under the name uncultured bacterium. RNAcentral's name for it is "partial 16S ribosomal RNA". It matches the Rfam family "Bacterial small subunit ribosomal RNA", at positions 338 to 681 of the family's 1533-position model. The record is from RNAcentral.